CAGUAGCCGCGGGAAAACCGAGGGUGCAAGCGUUAAUCGGAAUUACUGGGCGUAAAGCGCGCGUAGGUGGUUUGUUAAGUUGGAUGUGAAAUCCCCGGGCUCAACCUGGGAACUGCAUCCAAAACUGGCAAGCUAGAGUAUGGUAGAGGGUGGUGGAAUUUCCUGUGUAGCGGUGAAAUGCGUAGAUAUAGGAAGGAACACCAGUGGCGAAGGCGACCACCUGGACUGAUACUGACACUGAGGUGCGAAAGCGUGAGGAGCAAACAGGAUUAGAUACCCGUGUAGUCCCUGUCUCUUAUAC
This 301-nucleotide ribosomal RNA is filed under the name uncultured bacterium. RNAcentral's name for it is "partial 16S ribosomal RNA". It matches the Rfam family "Bacterial small subunit ribosomal RNA", at positions 509 to 807 of the family's 1533-position model. The record is from RNAcentral.